AGUGAACGCUGGCGGUAGACCUAACACAUGCAAGUCGAACGGCAGCACAGUAAGAGCUUGCUCUUACGGGUGGCGAGUGGCGGACGGGUGAGGAAUACAUCGGAAUCUACUUUUUCGUGGGGGAUAACGUAGGGAAACUUACGCUAAUACCGCAUACGACCUACGGGUGAAAGCAGGGGAUCUUCGGACCUUGCGCGAUUGAAUGAGCCGAUGUCGGAUUAGCUAGUUGGCGGGGUAAAGGCCCACCAAGGCGACGAUCCGUAGCUGGUCUGAGGGGAUGAUCAGCCACACUGGAACUGAGACACGGUCCAGACUCCUACGGGAGGCAGCAGUGGGGAAUAUUGGACAAUGGGCGCAAGCCUGAUCCAGCCAUACCGCGUGGGUGAAGAAGGCCUUCGGGUUGUAAAGCCCUUUUGUUGGGAAAGAAAAGCAGCAGGUUAAUACCCCGCUGUUCUGACGGUACCCAAAGAAUAAGCACCGGCUAACUUCGUG
Molecule: ribosomal RNA, 492 nt
Filed under: uncultured bacterium
Lineage: Bacteria
Description: partial 16S ribosomal RNA
Rfam family: Bacterial small subunit ribosomal RNA
Source: RNAcentral